This is a long non-coding RNA of Salvia splendens (bonfire salvia), 766 nucleotides long. RefSeq lists it as uncharacterized. The transcript has 3 exons. NCBI's taxonomy places the organism in Eukaryota, Viridiplantae, Streptophyta, Magnoliopsida, Lamiales, Lamiaceae. The record is from RefSeq and is a predicted model, not a curated record.
GUUGAAGUUAAAUUUAAAUUAGUACUCCUAUUACUCCAUUAGAUGAAUAGUAAUAAUUACAUUAGUACUCCUAUUAGAUGAAUAGUAAUGCAUUUAUAAAUAUAUUCGUUUUGUACCACAAUUCAACCAAACCAAAGUAAAUUCACAAAAAAAUGUGUAUAGAUCGUUUGCUAGUGGUGCUAUCGUUGGUUGGCCUUGCCCCAAAUGUAGAGCAGCAGAAAUAUGCAGUAGUUUUGGAUGUGUUCAACUUCGACGGCGACAUGGGUCUCCUCCCGAUUGACCAAGAAUUCGAGUUUUAUCAAGCGAUUACACCAGGUCUGAGUUCAUACGCAGAUGAUGCAGCCGGCCGCUCUUAGACCAAGCCGAGCCAGUUGCUUAAACUCGGGGCUUUAUCAUAUUCAGUCGGACGAGUUUAAAAAAGACUUUCAAAAUGACUCUCGAUGGGAUUAUCCAGGCUAUUCAGGAAGAAUCGCAGCAAAUGAGUUCUAAUGUUUCAUCGUAAUAUUGGUGCUAGCAUUGAUAGGCCUAACGACUCGGAAUGGUGAGAUGAUUGUGUAAAGCAAUCGGCGUGUGGUUUAUAGAUCAAAUGGACUCUCUCCUUGCUAAUAUUUUGGAAUGAGUUCUAAUAUUUCGUCUCUAACGAUAGUGCUUUCAUUGAUAAAGUCAUCAACAACGCUGUCUCUUAUCCGUCUCAUCUCUUCACUAUUCAUGGGUCCCGUUGUACUUUUCAUCACACCUCUUAACUAAGAGACAACAUCUGCAACCC